Molecule: long non-coding RNA, 580 nt
Organism: Lepidothrix coronata (blue-crowned manakin)
Lineage: Eukaryota; Metazoa; Chordata; Aves; Passeriformes; Pipridae
Exons: 5
Source: RefSeq, a predicted model, not a curated record
AAGGAAGGUGCUGCUUGGCAGGAACUGUAGCAGCCCUUCCUGGGUUAAGAUGAUGCCACAGGAAGCUUUAUCGUAGUGUUGAAAUCAGACAACUCAUUAUUUUUCAGAACAUCUGUAUAGCCAUGACCAUGUGGACUGUCCAUCUUUUCUACUGACAAAAGAUGGAAUUUUCUUUCUAUGAUGGAGAAAGAGUUGAGCUCAGUUCCUGGAUUAUGAGCAGUAAAUGUCUAUGUCGUCUCUGAUUCUGUCCUGAUUUACUUGGAGAGACAGGAAGGAUAGAAAUAAGAAGUGUUGCUGUUGACUUUUAUCCAAAACUCUUGAGGAAAAGACUGAUGGGACUUUUGUCUUCUCUGAGAACUGGGAGUCUGGGACUUUGGCUGGUCUGUGCCUGCCCAGAUCAUUUUGACUGUUGAGCUUUCUGCACAAGGGAGCCAGUUUCUUAGAAAAUAGAUAGCUAUGCAGAAGGGCAAGGAAAAUGGAGUGCUUGAUCCUGCUGAUGGCCUAUGUGAGAGAUACUGUGAAGGUUCUACUCUGAUCCCUAUAAAUAAUAAAUAAAAUGUUGAAUAAAAGGCUUUUCAGU